GGUAAAGGCCUACCAUGGCGACGAUCUGUAGCUGGUCUGAGAGGAUGAUCAGCCACACCGGGACUGAGACACGGCCCGGACUCCUACGGGAGGCAGCAGUGGGGAAUAUUGGACAAUGGGGGAAACCCUGAUCCAGCCAUGCCGCGUGUGUGAAGAAGGCCUUUUGGUUGUAAAGCACUUUAAGCAGUGAAGAAGACUCCGUGGUUAAUACCCACGGACGAUGACAUUAGCUGCAGAAUAAGCACCGGCUAACUCUGUGCCAGCAGCCGCGGUAAUACAGAGGGUGCAAGCGUUAAUCGGAAUUACUGGGCGUAAAGGGAGCGUAGGUGGCUCUAUAAGUCAGAUGUGAAAUCCCCGGGCUUAACCUGGGAACUGCAUCUGAAACUGUAGAGCUAGAGUAUGUGAGAGGAAGGUAGAAUUCCAGGUGUAGCGGUGAAAUGCGUAGAGAUCUGGAGGAAUACCGAUGGCGAAGGCAGCCUUCUGGCAUAAUACUGACACUGAGGCUCGAAAGCGUGGGUAGCAAACAGGAUUAGAUACCCUGGUAGUCCACGCCGUAAACGAUGUCUACUAGUCGUUGGGUCCCUUGAGGACUUAGUGACGCAGCUAACGCAAUAAGUAGACCGCCUGGGGAGUACGGCCGCAAGGUUAAAACUCAAAUGAAUUGACGGGGGCCCGCACAAGCGGUGGAGCAUGUGUUUAAUUCGAUGCAACGCGAAGAACCUUACCUGG
This 729-nucleotide ribosomal RNA is filed under the name uncultured Psychrobacter sp. Its description in RNAcentral is "bacterial SSU rRNA". It matches the Rfam family "Bacterial small subunit ribosomal RNA", at positions 256 to 978 of the family's 1533-position model. The record is from RNAcentral. Lineage: Bacteria; Pseudomonadati; Pseudomonadota; Gammaproteobacteria; Moraxellales; Moraxellaceae.